Molecule: ribosomal RNA, 583 nt
Filed under: Salmonella enterica
Lineage: Bacteria; Pseudomonadati; Pseudomonadota; Gammaproteobacteria; Enterobacterales; Enterobacteriaceae
Also listed under: 1 other name
Description: bacterial LSU rRNA
Rfam family: Bacterial large subunit ribosomal RNA
Source: RNAcentral
UGGGCGUUAAGUUGCAGGGUAUAGACCCGAAACCCGGUGAUCUAGCCAUGGGCAGGUUGAAGGUUGGGUAACACUAACUGGAGGACCGAACCGACUAAUGUUGAAAAAUUAGCGGAUGACCUGUGGCUGGGGGUGAAAGGCCAAUCAAACCGGGAGAUAGCUGGUUCUCCCCGAAAGCUAUUUAGGUAGCGCCUCGUGAAUUCAUCUCCGGGGGUAGAGCACUGUUUCGGCUAGGGGGCCAUCCCGGCUUACCAACCCGAUGCAAACUGCGAAUACCGGAGAAUGUUAUCACGGGAGACACACGGCGGGUGCUAACGUCCGUCGUGAAGAGGGAAACAACCCAGACCGCCAGCUAAGGUCCCAAAGUCAUGGUUAAGUGGGAAACGAUGUGGGAAGGCCCAGACAGCCAGGAUGUUGGCUUAGAAGCAGCCAUCAUUUAAAGAAAGCGUAAUAGCUCACUGGUCGAGUCGGCCUGCGCGGAAGAUGUAACGGGGCUAAACCAUGCACCGAAGCUGCGGCAGCGACACUGUGUGUUGUUGGGUAGGGGAGCGUUCUGUAAGCCUGUGAAGGUGUGUCGUGAGGC